This 1229-nucleotide long non-coding RNA is filed under the name Homo sapiens (human). Its description in RNAcentral is "non-protein coding ZFHX2-AS1:38". The record is from RNAcentral. Lineage: Eukaryota; Metazoa; Chordata; Mammalia; Primates; Hominidae.
GCAUUGCUGUGUGUCUGCCACCGCUGCCUGGCACUCAUGGGGCCGUGUGUGUGUGUAUGUGUGUGUGCGCGCAUGUACAUGUACGCAUAAGCGUGUGCUGUAUGUGAGCCUCCUGGGCAUGGGUGGGGGUUGGCAUUGCGGUUGCCAAUCUAGUGUACAACCAGAAGGACAGAGGGAUGGAGUGGAAGAAGGAGGGGAGAGGCUUGGGGUCUGGGAGGGGAGAAGAGGGUGCAUGAGUUGCUUCAUGCUGCCUGCUUACAGGCAUUGGCAUUGUAGCUGCCACCCUUGUGCCCACGGAGAUGGGAGGAGGCGAGUGGAGGGCGCAGCGGCAGGAGUCCUGUGCUCUGGGAGGAAGGCUUUGUACAUGGGAGCUGUUGGCAUCACAUCUGUCAGGCCGGUGCCCAGAACUGGGGCAAUGGAGACUGGGGGAUCCAGGAAGCAGGGAGGAGGGGCAGAAUGUGUUUCUGAUGUUGCUGUCCCUCUAGAAGCUCAGCUCUGAAAAAUGGUUGGAGUAUGAGGUGAUUAGUGCUCUUCCAGCUUGAGGAAGUAAAGUGGUGGAGAGAGUAGCCAGGGAAGUGCCAAGAAACAGUCUACGAGCCAGGGAGGAGGGAGUGUGCCACCGUACCCAGGGAGAACUUGUUGGGGCUGGCAAUCUGGCCCUUUGUCAGAGUAUUGAAGGAGACAGCAAGAGGACCAGAUGUGAGGUGGGUGGGUGCUGGCACUGCCCAUGGCACCUGGCACAGGCUCUGGCAUUGUGUGGAACAGGGGAGGUUGACAGUGCCUCUUGCCAAUCUGGUUGAGAGGGCUAUUGUGCCAGGAGUGAGAAGGAAGGAGGUGAAACAUUUCGGGAGGUGGGGUGUUUGGGAGACCAGAUUUUUUUCUGCCAGGUCCUCCUUCCCCUUCCCUCUUAGGCAUGGGGAGUGGAGCAACAGACGGAGAGUGGCAUGAAGACACAAAGGAGGAAGCACACCAUUGCCAAGACCCCAAGGAAGAAGGAUGGAAAGCGCUGGCAGUCCUGCCUGGCCCCCAGCCAGUUCCCUGCUGAAGAUGGCCAGAUCCCCUUGUCUGGUCUGUAUAUGCCACUUUUGCUGGGGUGGAAGGAGGGAAGGGCUGGCUUGCUGAGCUGGGCUCUAGAAUGGGAAGGGUACCUUUCUGCAGAUCCCAUUUGGACUCUCCACUUGAACAAGUGAGGUGUCUGAUUUUCUUCUUCGGUACCUUCCUCUCCUCCC